Molecule: small nuclear RNA, 127 nt
Organism: Stegostoma tigrinum
Lineage: Eukaryota; Metazoa; Chordata; Chondrichthyes; Orectolobiformes; Stegostomatidae
Source: RefSeq, a predicted model, not a curated record
UUCAUUUGUCCAAGGAAAGAUUGUUUGCACUCCCCUUGAUAAGAAUGGAAGGGGUGCUAGUGGGCUUAUAACACACACAUGAUUAAGGUAUUGCCAUCUACUUAGUGGCAUCUAACCAUGUUUUUCU